GAUGAACGCUGGCGGCGUGCCUAAUACAUGCAAGUCGAGCGAACAGACGCUGAGCUUGCUCCUCUGACGUUAGCGGCGCACGGGUGAGUCACACGUGUAUAACCUACCUAUCAGACUGGGAUCACUUCGGGAAACCGGCGCUAAUACCGUAUAAUAUAUUGCACCGCAUUGUUCAAUAGUGAAAGACGGUGUUGCUGUCACUUAUAGCUGCAUCCGGGCCGCAUUAGCUAGUUGGUAAGGUAAUGGCUUACCACGGCGACGAGGCGUAGCCGAACUGAGAGGGUGAUAGGCCACACGGGAACUGAGACACGGACCAGAGUCCUACGGGAGGCCGCAGUCGGGAACGUUACGCAAUGGGCGAAAGCAUGACGGAGCAGCGCGGCGUGAGUGAUGAAGGCGCUCGGAGCGUAAAACCCUGUUAUGAGUGAAGAACAAAUGUGUAAGGAACUAUGCACGUCGUGACGGUACCUAAUCAGAAAGCAACGGCUAACUACGUG
RNAcentral lists this ribosomal RNA (497 nucleotides) under uncultured bacterium. RNAcentral's name for it is "partial 16S ribosomal RNA". It matches the Rfam family "Bacterial small subunit ribosomal RNA", at positions 28 to 507 of the family's 1533-position model. The record is from RNAcentral.